AAGAGAAGAGAUGUGGGAAUGAAAGUCAGUAGGAACAAGAUUGAGUACAUGUGUUUGAAUGAGAGAGAGCCCGGUGGGAUAGUGCAUUUACAAGGAGUAGAGGUGAUGAAUGUAGACGAGUUUAAAUACUUGGUGUCAACUGUCCAAAGUAAUGGAGAGUGUGGUAGAGAGGUGAAGAAGAGAGUGCAUGCAGGGUGG
Molecule: long non-coding RNA, 198 nt
Organism: Thalassophryne amazonica
Lineage: Eukaryota; Metazoa; Chordata; Actinopteri; Batrachoidiformes; Batrachoididae
Exons: 3
Source: RefSeq, a predicted model, not a curated record